This 333-nucleotide ribosomal RNA is filed under the name Sinotaia quadrata histrica. Its description in RNAcentral is "SSU rRNA". It matches the Rfam family "Eukaryotic small subunit ribosomal RNA", at positions 76 to 387 of the family's 1831-position model. Lineage: Eukaryota; Metazoa; Mollusca; Gastropoda; Architaenioglossa; Viviparidae. The record is from RNAcentral. RNAcentral also lists the same sequence under 9 other names.
GUACGGUGAAACCGCGAAUGGCUCAUUAAAUCAGUCGAGGUUCCUUAGAUGAUCCAUUUCUACUUGGAUAACUGUGGUAAUUCUAGAGCUAAUACAUGCCCAACAGCUCCGACCCCGGGCUUCGCGGUUCGGGGAAAGAGCGCUUUUAUUAGUUCAAAACCAGUCGGGGGUUUCGGCCCUCGUGCUUUGGUGACUCUGGAUAACUUUGAGCCGAUCGCAUGGCCUCGAGCCGGCGACGCAUCUUUCAAAUGUCUGCCCUAUCAAAUGACGACGGUACGUGAUCUGCCUACCGUGUUGACUACGGGUAGCGGGGAAUCAGGGUUCGAUUCCGGA